Long non-coding RNA from Sinocyclocheilus grahami, 124 nucleotides. RefSeq lists it as uncharacterized. The transcript has 3 exons. Lineage: Eukaryota; Metazoa; Chordata; Actinopteri; Cypriniformes; Cyprinidae. The record is from RefSeq and is a predicted model, not a curated record.
UAAAGGAAUAGUUCACCCAAAAAUAAAAGUUUGCUUAAAAUUUACCCUCAGGCCAACAAAGAUGCAGUUGAGUUUGUUUGUUCAUUGGAACAGAUUUGGAGAAAUUUACCACUCCAUCAGUUGC